AUACUUACCUGGCAAGGGAGAUACCAUGAUCAAGGUGGUUCACCCAUGGCGAGGCUCAGCCAUUGCACUGAGGCUGUUGCUGACCCGUGCGAAUUCCCCAAAUGUGGGAAUCUCGAUGCAUAAUUUCUGGUAGUGGGGGACUGGUUGGCGCUCUCCCUGA
This is a small nuclear RNA of 160 nucleotides. Its record names the gene U1. It matches the Rfam family "U1 spliceosomal RNA". Rfam says of the family: U1 is a small nuclear RNA (snRNA) component of the spliceosome (involved in pre-mRNA splicing). The record is from Ensembl.